UUUCCGUAGGUGAACCUGCGGAAGGAUCAUUAAAAAAGAAAAUCACAAAUGAUAUUUAGGUCCUAGGGCGAAGCUCUAGGGCCGGCAAAAAGCAAAAACCAAAGGGUUCGCCCUAAUUCUUUUUAACGAGAUUCACCUGACGCUUCGCGCCAGGUAAAAAAAACUUUCAACAACGGAUCUCUUGGCUCUCGCAUCGAUGAAGAACGCAGCAAAUCGCGAUAUGUGUCAUGACUUGCAGACGUGAAUCAUUAAUCUUUGAACGCACAUUGCGCCCUGGAGCAUUCUCCAGGGCAUGUGGGUGUGAGCGGAUGUCCUUCUCACUUUUGUGGCCUACAUCCAGCCCUAGGAAUCAAGUUUACCUAGACUUUUUUUCCCUCACCCCCACAAGACUACCCGCUGAACUUAA
Molecule: unclassified non-coding RNA, 406 nt
Filed under: Metschnikowia lopburiensis (nom. inval.)
Lineage: Eukaryota; Fungi; Ascomycota; Pichiomycetes; Serinales; Metschnikowiaceae
Description: Metschnikowia lopburiensis partial contains ITS1, 5.8S rRNA and ITS2
Rfam family: 5.8S ribosomal RNA (bases 162-310)
Source: RNAcentral